GCCUUUUUAAAAUUUGGACUCACUUAAAGUGCGAAACAAAAUAUGCACUCAUAACGGUUCAUGGAUCGAUGAGAUCCUCGUAAUCUUCAAUAGGUAAGUCUACAAGUGCUCCUCACUAUCAUUCUCAUUUAAAGGGGGGUCAUGGAAAGGGGUGAGUUCCAUAUACUCAGUAAGAAAAAUAGUAUUUAAAUGGCAUUACUAAGAUUUUAAAGAUAA
RNAcentral lists this long non-coding RNA (216 nucleotides) under Carica papaya (papaya). RNAcentral describes it as "long non-coding RNA (CPAP_LNC016074)". The record is from RNAcentral. Lineage: Eukaryota; Viridiplantae; Streptophyta; Magnoliopsida; Brassicales; Caricaceae.